CACACUCUAUGCAUUACCCCAACUGGCUGCCGGGUGUCACUGCUCCUCCAUGGGAGAAACACACAUAAGAAAGGCCGUACGGGGUCAGACCAAAGGUCCAUCUAGCCCAGUAUCCUGUCUACCGACAAAAAGCAACAGCGGGUCCUGUGGCACCUUUAAGACUAACAGAAGUAUUGGGAGCAUAAGCUUUCGUGGCCACCACCAAGCAGAGCCUGGCCACAGAGCAGCGCUACAGCAGGUGCAUGGACCAGCUGCACACUGUGCUCCUCAUCUGCUCCGGGACGGACAAGCCCGUGGGCUCCUGGCUGCUGAACAACCUGCCCCAGAUCUCACCCUCUCCUGCUACCGGAGUAGCCUGCUCACCACUGAGACCAAGACCAGCCCCCAGCUGCCCUGGCAGCCACUGACCCUAAUGUGGAGAGCCUGAUGUGUGGUGGGGGGAAACAUCCCAGUAUCUCCUCUGUAGGGUCAGGACGUGUUAUUAAAAACUGCUCCCUGUCCCAAUUUCCUAAUGGUUGCAGUUACAGGACAUAGCAAUUUUUUUGCUGUCCUGAUGCAAUUCACCACCCCCACAAUUCACCAGCCCUGGGUCUGGGAGUAGCGAUUUGUGGCAGAUGGGGUAUGCAUUGUUACAAUGUGCUACUUCUGGGAAAUCUCUAUUUGAAAUUGGCACACUCAUGAGAUGAGUUUUCUAACAAUACAUUUUUCUAAGUUAGAAAACAUUUGUGUUAUUGAGAUCCAAAUUUAAUAUAGAGAUUUCAUGGGGUAGGAAACUGUGACAGGGCAUAAACCAUCCAUCACAAAUUGCUACUUUGGGACCAGGGCUGAGGUAACCAAGGAAAUCAGGCAGCAUUCAAGUGAUAUGAUCACAAAUAAUAGCCUGACAUUAAAAA
Non-coding RNA from Chrysemys picta bellii (western painted turtle), 893 nucleotides. The record is from RefSeq and is a predicted model, not a curated record. Lineage: Eukaryota; Metazoa; Chordata; Testudines; Emydidae.